Molecule: long non-coding RNA, 1044 nt
Organism: Gasterosteus aculeatus aculeatus (three-spined stickleback)
Lineage: Eukaryota; Metazoa; Chordata; Actinopteri; Perciformes; Gasterosteidae
Source: Ensembl
GUUCAAUAAACAGCCACAACAGAGACAGGAGUUCGAGAGCAGAGUAGAGAAUAGAGUUCUUGUUGCGUUGACGUUGGGAGUUAAAAGGCUUUGGAAGAGUGUGUACAUACGUGCAGUCAGGAAGCAGCACACACGUGGAGAGGAAACAUGAAUACGGUUGUUAUUAGAGAUUAAAGCAUGUCUCGUUCCGCUCUUUAGCUUUAAUAAUAGAACGGGUCAUCCACACAAUGUCCCUGUCACUUGUAGGAAAUACUGCAGAAACACACUUUUAACCGUGGAAGGUUUCUUCUUGCACCGUGUGGAUGUACGUACCAGGACACGUGCUGUAAGAAGACAUAUUUUACUGACAGACCUUGUCAUGGCGUCAGAGGAAUCCCAACACUAUAACUAGUGCGACAAUGACCAAUGCUGCUAAUGUUUCUAGUAUUACCACUUCCUGGAGCCAUAAAGUGGUUUUGUUGUUUAACUUUGAGGCACAAAGGCAUAUAGGUAAGUGCCCGCUAAUGAGAACAGGUGAGGAUGGAAAAGCAAACAGUUUUUGAACGUGUCGUAUGCCUGUAAACAAGGUGCGAUGUAAUGCAAGGGCAUCGGCGUGGUAAUUGAAUGCUACGGAAUGCGGAUUAAAAGGAUUGAAAGACACGCAGCACACUGAACACGCGUCGGAUCGUGUUCUCCCGUUUAAGACUUACAUUGGAAAUGUGUAAUGGCCUCUAAACCACUAAUACUGCUACUGGUACUACUGCUCAUACUGGUACUUCUACUGCAACCUUUCCUGAUGCUACAAAUACUUUAAUUUGACUGUUAUUACGACUACUACUAAUACAAACGCAAUACUACUAUUACUACAACUAAUUCUACCAAUAUUUCAACAACUGUAGAAGACACAUUUAGGCUAAUAUUUCAUAUUUAUGUACUUUAUUUGCGUCCAUCCAUUGUGGUUAACAUUGUUUUAAGAUAAGCAAACCAACAGACGUCGUCUGUGUCUUUGAGAAUGACAUUAAGGUAAAAAAUCUCCUAAAAUGAAAGGUCUUUAAUUAUUUUCCC